GCCCCCCCCCCGCCCGCCCGGCGGCGCGGUCGCGCGCCCCCUCAGGGGCGGCUGAGGGGGAGCGGCGGGAGCGGGCCGGGGUUUCUGCAGCGCUCCUCGGCUCUGGGGUUCGCUCCGCGGCCGCAGAGGAAGGAGCCGUGGCGAGGAACGACGCGGCUCUGCCGCGGUGCAGGCGCUUCGGAAGGUGUCGCUUGCGAAAGCUGUCAGCGCUUCCCGUGGCGUGCGCCGGAGAGAGGAGGAAGGCUGCGGUGCGAUGGGGCCCUCCCGGAGGAACAGCCCCAGGCUCGCUGCUGUGGGAGGAACGAUCUUGCCACAUCGGAGCUGCAGAAAGGUCAAGCCGGAGUUGCCUUCUCGCUGAUACAGAAACCACUGUGGUGUUAGAAUGGAGGUAAAGGAUUUCUCUGCAGUUCCAUCCAGGGCAGUAAAAAACACCAGCACUGUGACAAGAGGAAGUGCAAGUAAUUAAUACCAGAAGAUCAAAUGAAAGGAGUGGCUUUGCAAGAGCUGAGCACUCGGUGCCUGUUGUGUUCAGAGGACUCCCAAACCCAAACAUGACAGAUCACUGCUGGACACGUUGCUCAGACAGCAUUUUGCAUUGCUGCUCUUGUGGAUGGAUUGUAAAGGCGGCAAGUUGAAGUGUGGAGGAAGCUGAUAAUGCUUUUUCAGUUCCUGAGGACUUCAAGCAGCUAUGAAAGUUAUAGGACAUCAGCAGACACCAACAAUCAGCUCACAAACAGCUGCUGAGAAGUUGAAGACAAACAUCUACAGAACCACUGAAGCAUAAAUAGUGCAGGAGCACCUGAAAAUGCAACUGUUGAGAAGGAGCACAGCACCAGAGAUCCCUUCCCCUGACACAAGAUUUGGUAACUGGAGCCAGUAGGCACCCAGCUGCAGGGAGAGGAUCAUCUUCAUCACCCUAAAGCACCAGGAAAGGAAUUUCCAGGUGGAAUUAGCAAAGCCUCCACCCCUACAGUCCGAGCAGUUGCUGAGUAUCAUUAAUCAUUCCAUCAAAUGGAGCAUUCACCACCCUCCUGGCUCCAAGAAGAUAUUCCACCCAGCAGGGAAUCAAACCUACUGUAAAGAAAAACCCAAACCCGAAUUCCUGCUGGCAGCAGAGACACCCGAGAGGAGAGGAGAGGCAUUAACAGAGCAACUGGCACCCAGGGAGGCAGCAAUUCUGCUGUGCUUCGGAAAACCGAGCUGGUUCCAGAGCUCACAGGAAAGACUCUGAAGCAGCUUUAAACGAAGUGCAUCUUCAGGAACAGCCAGUCAGAGAGACUGUCACCUCAACAGCUGCAAGGUCACCGCCCAGCAGGGACAGUCUCUCUCUUUACCUCUGAAAUGUCCAAUCUGGUCUGUAACAGCUCAGAGGGAGCGCUUUAAAUAUAAAUAGGUAAACUAAAAAGUCAAAAGCCAAGAGCUGCCAGACAACGUGAUGCAGGAGGCUGUGUAGGAGUCCCCGGUGCCCUGGAGGCUGCGCGGCUCCGGGCCAUCCUCCCCCGCCCGGCUGGGAGACACCAGGCAGCCAAUUCCUACCGAGAGAAAGGCACCAGAGACACUGAACGCGUGAAACGCCCCAAAUCAGCGCCAUUGAAAUGCGAGGAGCAUCCAGGGGUUGGGAUUGCUCCCUGCCCUGAGCCUGGGCACGGCCCAGCAGGGCAGCCCGCAGCUCCUGCGGCUCUGUGCUCCCUGGCAAGGCAGCUGUGGCAUGCAGCCACACACAGAAUCCACCCAGCCAAACCCCAGGGGACAGACCGGGCUCACCAGGGCCAGCUCUGCCUUCCAGCCACUUUAAGGGGUUUUCAGGUUCCCAGACACCAUCAGAGAGGUCAAUGGAAAUGAAUCGGUUCAGCAUCCUCACCUGAACAAAAGCAGGGAAUCCAGACUGUCUCCAUGGUUUCCCAGCAGCACAAAGUCCUGAAGUACUUGCAGUGUCAUAGCAACAAGCUCCAGCCCAGCCUAAAGAAAAUUCUGUUCUUUUAGACCACAGGAUGUUAUUUAUGAUGAUCCUGGAGAGCCCUAAGAGUUGUGCAUCAACACCAGGACUGGAUGAAGGCUCUGCAAGUACCAGACCUACCUUCAGUCCAUCAUUCCUCUUGUAUAAACCCCAAUCGUGGCAGAGCAGCUUUUGGAGGCAGCAGCAGCUGCUCCUUUCCUUGCUGGGGCAGAAACUCCUCUUCCAGGGACUUGGCAGGGCUGGAUCACCACUGGGCUUGAUAAUUCUGGGAUUCUGAAUGACUCUGGCUGCACUUUGGGGUUGGCCACAUUUGAUUCAUGGCUCAAUCCAGGCUUUAAGGAAACAUCAGAAAUAUCAAUAAUUUGUCCCAAAAGUCUUUCGGUGUGACCAACAAAACCCCCAAAGAUCCUCCACUCCCCCUGCUGGAGUGGCACAGCUGGGUGGGGCUCAGUUACUGCCUUCAGCUCUGAGCCAAGCCAGAACAAACCCUCCCAGACCCCUUUGGGGGACCAUUCUCAGAACCACAACAACAAAUUUCCUUUUUAAAUGUGCAUCCCACCCCCAAACCUGGCCAGGGGCCUGGGAUUCCUGCCUGUGCUGGCCCUGGGAGGAUGGUGUGUCUCACCCUGGAUCUUGAGGAAUUUUCCCUGGAUAACAGAAUAAUGCCUCCAGCUAAAGGUGAACCCAGUGCAGGAAUGCCUGUGGAUGCCUCAGGAAAACACUGGCUGCCCCCAAAGUGUCAAACUGGCUUAAGAGGGAACUGAGCAAGGCUGCUCAGGACUUGGAUUAUCCCACAAUUUUUCCAGUAGGAUUUGAGGUGACUUAGAAGUGACAGGAAAGCUCUCAAGGAAAACUGAGCUCUGCCAGAAAUAACCUCAGUUUCCUGACCAGGAGACGUGGGCAAAGGAAAGAUUUCACCUUCAGGGGUUCCUGCUCCAAGCAGGAUCAGAAAAGCUUUGGAAUAAACUGCAGCAUGCAAUGUUACAGGGAUUGCCUUUCCUGCUGCUACAUUGCAGAUGAUGGCAGAGGCAGCUGGACUUGCUCUCCCCAAAAUCAGCAGAACAGCAUAAUUCAUACCUCAGUUUUCCCUUCACCAGGGCAGAACGUUCAGGGUUGCUGCUGUUAAUUCCUCCUUUACACCAGCAAAUAGAAUUAUUUUGGAGUCUGCUGUUGUUGGCUUUUUCCUGGCAGUCUGGAUGCAGCACUCCCCAGUUGUCCUUUCCCUGGGGAAGAACUGAGAGAGCUGCAGGAGCACUCACAGCCAGCCAGGGAGAUCCAUUCCAUCAUGGAAUCCAGGCUGCAGGAGCAGAGCUGGCACUGCCACGGCCCCAGGGACUCUGGGGUCACCUUGUGAGCCUGGCCUGGGCUCCAGAGCCAGGAGAGUGUCCCAGGGCCUUUGAAAAUGGAAAUCUCAGCCCUGUGAGACAAGGGGAGGCCUCUGCAGAGCUGGGGAGCUGCAGGUCACACAAACCUGAUGGUUUAGAAAUAAAAACCCCCAGAAAUGCUGACUUUUAACCCACUCUGAGCUCAGGCAGCCUCACAGGGUGGUGGUGCCAGCACACACUUGCCAGAGAGAAUUUGUGGCUAAUUUAGGGGGGCAAAAAAAAACCCCAAGAAGCAGAGAAGGAUCUGGGAAGGAUCCACAUCCUGGAAGUCCCACAGGCUCCCCCUCCCCCUGUCACACUGCACAGCUUCCAACACAAGCCCCACUUGUAAGGGCUCACCCCAAAGGCAGGGAUUCCCCCUGUCCUGGGCAGCACUGUGGGGAGGGAGCUGUCACCAAUUGAGUGCAGAUACUCCAGGCUGCAGGAACACUCUAUUUAUUAGGUCAAUAUUCCAUUUGAGCAAUACAGUUACAGAAUAUCACAAUGCUGGUUACAAACAUAGGAUGGCUCCGUGGGCACAAAGGAUGGUGGUGAGAAGUGGGGUACGAAACCUUCCUGACACCACAGGGAGGGGCUGCAAGGUCUACUAAUGAGCAAGAUAUUUUAUAUAAAUGAACGUGGCACUACAGGUGGAGAUUCUGGUUUAGAGGUGGGUUUGUGUCAUUAGUUCAAUUUAUACAGUUAUACAGUUCAAGCAACAUAUUUUUCUUUUUUUUUUUUAAUGCUAUUAAAUUAAAAUCCCCUGUAGUUCAAUAAAGUAUAAAAAUAGUACUGAACCCGGUAAUAUUCAAUAAAAUGUAGAAUUCAUUCACAUCAUUAAGUAGUAAAGAAAUUGUAAAGUUGUAGUUACCAUGGCAACAUUGCUUCCCAGAAAGGAAUAUACAGAAAAGAAAAGUUACACAUAAGGUACCUGCGACGAGUAUUAGCGAUCCAACACUGAACUUGUGCACCACAAACCAAGUUUCUAAAUAUCUCUAUAUAUUUAUAUAGUAUAUAUCUUUUUCAUCUUUAAAUUUACUUUUGAAAAGAAAAAAAGAAAAUGUGCACUUCAACAAACUCACUAAGGCCACUCAUGCUAUAGAUACGGAGGAUUGGAGGAGUGGAAUACGAGAGCCCAGAGCACACACUUCACACCACCAGGGACACCUGUGGCACUGCCCAAAACGUUCCUGAGA
Passer domesticus (house sparrow) is the source of this 4517-nucleotide long non-coding RNA. RefSeq lists it as uncharacterized. The transcript has 9 exons. The record is from RefSeq and is a predicted model, not a curated record. Lineage: Eukaryota; Metazoa; Chordata; Aves; Passeriformes; Passeridae.